This 445-nucleotide ribosomal RNA is filed under the name uncultured bacterium. RNAcentral's name for it is "partial 16S ribosomal RNA". It matches the Rfam family "Bacterial small subunit ribosomal RNA", at positions 354 to 796 of the family's 1533-position model. The record is from RNAcentral.
GUGAGGAAUAUUGGUCAAUGGGCGCAAGCCUGAACCAGCCAUCCCGCGUGAAGGAUGACGGCCCUAUGGGUUGUAAACUUCUUUUCUGUGCAAAGAAAUUGCCUUACGUGUAAGGUAUUGACGGUAGUGCAGGAAUAAGGAUCGGCUAACUCCGUGCCAGCAGCCGCGGUAAUACGGAGGAUCCAAGCGUUAUCCGGAUUUAUUGGGUUUAAAGGGUGCGUAGGCGGAUUUGUAAGUCAGUGGUGAAAUCCUGCAGCUUAACUGUAGAACUGCCAUUGAUACUGCUGAUCUUGAGUACAGUUGAGGUAGGCGGAAUGUGUAGUGUAGCGGUGAAAUGCUUAGAUAUUACACAGAACACCGAUUGCGAAGGCAGCUUGCCAAACUGUCACUGACGCUGAUGCACGAAAGCGUGGGGAUCGAACAGGAUUAGAAACCCUUGUAGUCC